This is a long non-coding RNA of Tupaia belangeri chinensis (Chinese tree shrew), 884 nucleotides long. RefSeq lists it as uncharacterized. The transcript is spliced from 4 exons. Lineage: Eukaryota; Metazoa; Chordata; Mammalia; Scandentia; Tupaiidae. The record is from RefSeq and is a predicted model, not a curated record.
UAAAGCAAACAGAAUAGUGUUAAUGGUUGCAGUACUCUUCUUUCAAAGACUGUAAGGAAGGGGAAUAUUUCUUUUGGACCUGGAGGGUGUGUUAGGGUGAAUGUGUUCAUGCUUAUAGGACUUGCUGAAUACAGGAUUCUGAGUGAAUAGAGAUGCCUAUGAUCUCUGUAAUGAGAUGGAGAGAAAGAUUGAGAGAGGCCGGAAAAGACAAUGAUUAAUGAAGAAAUUACACUACCUAGUGCCCGUAACAGGAGUCCCUUUUGGCUUAUCUUAAGGGUGGGAGUGGUUGAAAGGAUUUGUGCGAAUACUUGACAACAAAAGGAAAUUAAAUUUGAACCAUUGUAUUCUUAGUAUGGCAUAACAUCUGCCAGAGACCAUGUUUUACUACCUUCUCCCCUCACAAAAGAAAAAAAGAAGAAAAUCCUUUCUCAGUCUCUCUUCAUUUGGUCCAUUUUAUUCCCCAUCCCUAGGCUUUCCCUCAUCUGUGCAAAUCAUUCACAUUGAUAUGUCCAAUAUAUAUGCCCUAAACUGACCUGUUCUUAUAAUACAUCCAUAACGGUGUUUGUUUUGUCUUGCUGUUUUUAAACGAAAAUGCCAAUACGACCAGAUCUCCAGCAGUUGGAAAAAUGCAUUGAUGAUGCUUUAAGAAAACAUGAUUUUAAACCUUUGAAAACCCUUUUACAAAUUGAUAUUUGUGAAGAUGUGAAGAUUAAAUGUAGCAAACAGUUUUUGCAGAAGUUGGAUGACCUUUUAUGCAGGGAACUUAAUAAAAAGGAUAUAAAAAAUGUUUCAGUCAUUUUGGUUUCUAUUGGAAGAUGUGCCAAAAAUAUCAAUAUAUUGGGGCAAGCUGGACUUCUAACUAUGAUAAAACAAGGACUAGUCCA